Non-coding RNA from Callithrix jacchus (white-tufted-ear marmoset), 287 nucleotides. The record is from Rfam. Lineage: Eukaryota; Metazoa; Chordata; Mammalia; Primates; Cebidae.
GGUUGCAAGGUCAAUCUCAUUGAUGACAUUGGUCUCCCCAUUGAUUCUGGGGUUUAUCAGACUGAUCUGGCUGGAUGGGCAAGUGUCCCUUUCUCCCUCUCUGCUUUACAUGCACACUUAAUAGAAAAGGACAACCUUCCCUGAGAGAAGUGUCCUGUUCUUUUUCUCAAGAGCAAAGGCAACAUCUUUAAUCAAAAAAGAUUUACCAUGCAAACUGAUGAGGGAAUGAAUUUUUUUUUAACUGAUUAAAAAUAAAAUCAUUGUGUUAGUGUGUUAGUCCUUUAAAU